This 425-nucleotide ribosomal RNA is filed under the name uncultured bacterium. RNAcentral describes it as "partial 16S ribosomal RNA". It matches the Rfam family "Bacterial small subunit ribosomal RNA", at positions 354 to 796 of the family's 1533-position model. The record is from RNAcentral.
GUGGGGAAUCUUGCGCAAUGGGCGAAAGCCUGACGCAGCCAUGCCGCGUGAAUGAUGAAGGUCUUAGGAUUGUAAAAUUCUUUCACCGGGGACGAUAAUGACGGUACCCGGAGAAGAAGCUCCGGCUAACUUCGUGCCAGCAGCCGCGGUAAUACGAAGGGGGCUAGCGUUGCUCGGAAUUACUGGGCGUAAAGGGCGCGUAGGCGGACAGCUUAGUCAGAGGUGAAAGCCCAGGGCUCAACCUUGGAAUUGCCUUUGAUACUGACUGUCUUGAGUUUGGGAGAGGUGAGUGGAACUCCGAGUGUAGAGGUGAAAUUCGUAGAUAUUCGGAAGAACACCAGUGGCGAAGGCGACUCACUGGCCCAAUACUGACGCUGAGGCGCGAAAGCGUGGGGAGCAAACAGGAUUAGAAACCCUUGUAGUCC